CGAGGACUUGAGUCGCAACAACGUCAUCACCAACGUGUACAAGGUCCAGAUGAGUCGGCUCACUUCGAAGUACAACGACUCGAUCACCCAGGCUCCGUCGGCAAAUUGGAAAAACUGAACGCAUGCGAAUAAAGCCAUCCUUGUCUGGUUGAGAGAGGGAGGGAGUGAGCUCACCUUUCUUUGACGAGGCAAGGCGAAAUUGAAGACGGCAAUCACAGCGAACAGAGUGGGACACACAUACAAGAAGAAUAUGAGGUAAGUCCGGGUGUACCACGACAUUGAAUGAUCUAGAGGAGCAAACAAAUGAUGAUAAUACGAGCUGUCUCGAGAGGAAAUCGGCCAAAGAAAGGAACCGAGAAGGCAGGAGUCAACCAACUCACUGAAUGCAUCCAAGAGCGUGGCGAUCAUGGUGACCAGGACGAAGGCCGUGAUGGCCGCGGCCAACUGAAUUACCCAAGAAUAGCCCAAUUGUCGAAUGUAGACCUCCUUGGACACCCCUAAAAGCAC
Tigriopus californicus is the source of this 507-nucleotide long non-coding RNA. RefSeq lists it as uncharacterized. The transcript has 2 exons. NCBI's taxonomy places the organism in Eukaryota, Metazoa, Arthropoda, Copepoda, Harpacticoida, Harpacticidae. The record is from RefSeq and is a predicted model, not a curated record.